UACGUAGGGUCCAAGCGUUGUUCGGAAUUACUGGGCGUAAAGGGCACGUAGGCGGCGAUACGGGUCAGAUGUGAAAGCCCCGGGCUCAACCUGGGAACUGCAUUUGAAACUGUAUGGCUCGAGGACGGAAGAGGAGAACGGAAUUCCCAGUGUAGAGGUGAAAUUCGUAGAUAUUGGGAAGAACACCAGUGGCGAAGGCGGUUCUCUGGUCCGUACCUGACGCUGAGGCGCGAAAGCGUGGGGAGCAAACAGG
Molecule: unclassified non-coding RNA, 253 nt
Filed under: uncultured Alphaproteobacteria bacterium
Lineage: Bacteria; Pseudomonadati; Pseudomonadota; Alphaproteobacteria
Description: contains 16S-23S intergenic spacer region
Rfam family: Bacterial small subunit ribosomal RNA
Source: RNAcentral